RNAcentral lists this long non-coding RNA (223 nucleotides) under Nicotiana benthamiana. RNAcentral describes it as "long non-coding RNA (NBEN_LNC026967)". The record is from RNAcentral. Lineage: Eukaryota; Viridiplantae; Streptophyta; Magnoliopsida; Solanales; Solanaceae.
GAGAGGCUUAAUGGUGAAAACCCUUCAUGGCACAACAAGGCGGUUGAGGAUUGCAGAUCGUAUGGAUUAAUUAAAGCGCUGAAGCCCAGUUUCACAUCUAAGAGGUACAACAAGAGUGAAAUAUUAAAUUUCUUGAGAGAUCAUGCCGCCUAAUCCAAAAUGCAUGUCAUGGUCAAUUGAGAUGACCUUCAAAUCAGAUUAGUUUCUUCUUUGUUCUUUUUCC